UUUGGUGUAGGUUUUAUGGUCCCUGUGUAAUGCCAGCACUGCUGAAUUUGCCGGGAUCCUAAAAUGAGCUAUUUUACAUGGAUAGCUCUGGACUGCACCCGUUUCCAGCCCUGGACAGGACACGAUGGUUUGGGCUGCACAGACAGGAUAUUCCCGGGACACCAGGGCAUGGUCUUGGCACCCAAAUGCACAGACCAGAUGGCUGAUGGACUCAGAACUUCCAGGGAUUCUCCAAAGAGGGGAAGCAGAGGUGCUGGAUACUGCCCUAAUCCCAGUGAGUACCAGGAGGCAUGAGGAGAGGCACCAACAGCUGGAGGCACCUGAAUUGGCUCCACCUGUGUGCUGCUGCCUGGCUUUGUCCACAGUUUCUUCUGCUUCUCAGUUUCAGGAAACGGACUGUUUUAUUGUCCCCGUCACUCUCCGAGCCCUUUCCGUCUGUGUGCCUGACCACACAGUCUCUUGGCCGUUGGGUUUUUGCCAGGACCCACAAGUGACCAUGGACAGACGCGGCGCUGGCUGCUGGCCGUGAUGUUUCGUGGCUCUAGGAGCUGCUGGGCACAACGGCUGCUUGCUCGCAGGGCUGCCAGCGUCAGCGGGAACUGGCUGAGGCCACAGCUGCUCCCACCACUGUAUGAUGAGGUUGUGGAGUUUUACUGCAGACGUGGGUGGUGUUUGUGCUGAACUAAAACAAACUCAAGGAUGUCCCGGCCCUGGACAUGAGGACUUUGCUGUGUGGAAGCCGAGAGCUGUCCCUGAAGGAUAAAAGAUGCUCCAGGACAUCCAAGGUAAAGCCAGCCCCUCUGACAAGGUUUUGAAACCCUCCCGCAUCGGCUGGUGUCAGAGGGAAGUGGCUCUGGCCAGACAGACUGCAGAGACAUCGGGAUCCAGCCAAGCAGCGAGGAUGCUGCAGAAAUAGAGCUGCUGUGCCGGGAUUUUCUGUGAUCAGUAACGGGCAGGGUGGGUGCCAGUGAGGAGUGAAACGUGUUGGACCUGCACGUGUGAAGGGUGCGAGAACCCCGGGUUUGGGGAGCCCCAGUUUGGCUGGGACGUCUCAUGUGCAGGAGUCGGUAUUUCCUCCGGUGAGUCUGUGCUUUGUGUUCCAGCCUCUCUCCUUGGACGGCACGGGCCGGGUGCGGAUGUACGGACCGGUGCUGGGCCCUGCUCUGCUCCUCCGCUCCGGGGCCUCACGCAGGCAGCCGCGCUCAAAAUGUGCUGCGGUGGGAGCAGAGGCCACUCCAGGGACCCACCCCAGCUCCUGCAGCCCUGGCGGUGGACAGUGAAGCCGGGCAGAGGGAGCGAUGCCAUCCCAGAGCUGCUGGUCCCUCGGGGGGUGUUGGUGGCCCCGGUGAUGCCCGUGGCUGUGCCCACAUGUGGGGAAGGCUCAUCCCGGUGCCCAGGCGAGGAGCGUGGCCCCAGGGCGGGGGAGGCUGUGCCCGGUGAGGUGAGUGCCCUGGGGCAGCGGGGAGGGGAGCCAGAGCUGCGCGGGGGGACCAGGACACUCGGCUCCCGGGGAUGGGGAGGGCACAUGCUGCUGGUGCUGGCCCCGGCCCCACCUUGGGGCUGCUGGAGUCGGUCUGUGACGCUGCUGCGUGGGCAGGUUUUCAGCCAGAUGUGGCUGUCACCCACCCUUCUGGGGAGAAACGGGACAUUUCUGGUGUCCCGUCCCCUCUCAGGUGUGCGGUGCCGGGCUGCUGCUGCCGAGGGUCCGGGCAGAGCUGCCCGUGCCUGGGCAGCCGCAGGUUUGUCCG
This is a long non-coding RNA of Chroicocephalus ridibundus (black-headed gull), 1748 nucleotides long. RefSeq lists it as uncharacterized. The record is from RefSeq and is a predicted model, not a curated record. The transcript is spliced from 4 exons. NCBI's taxonomy places the organism in Eukaryota, Metazoa, Chordata, Aves, Charadriiformes, Laridae.